RNAcentral lists this ribosomal RNA (305 nucleotides) under uncultured bacterium. RNAcentral's name for it is "bacterial SSU rRNA". It matches the Rfam family "Bacterial small subunit ribosomal RNA", at positions 335 to 657 of the family's 1533-position model. The record is from RNAcentral.
UUUCCUACGGGGCGCAGCAGUGGGGAAUAUUGCACAAUGGGGGAAACCCUGAUGCAGCGACGCCGCGUGAGUGAAGAAGUAUUUCGGUAUGUAAAGCUCUAUCAGCAGGGAAGAAAAUGACGGUACCUGACUAAGAAGCCCCGGCUAACUACGUGCCAGCAGCCGCGGUAAUACGUAGGGGGCAAGCGUUAUCCGGAUUUACUGGGUGUAAAGGGCGUGUAGCCGGGCUGACAAGUCAGAUGUGAAAUCCGGGGGCUCAACCCCCGAACUGCAUUUGAAACUGUUGGUCUUGAGUAUCGGAGAGG